This is a small nuclear RNA of Rhinopithecus bieti (black snub-nosed monkey), 60 nucleotides long. NCBI's taxonomy places the organism in Eukaryota, Metazoa, Chordata, Mammalia, Primates, Cercopithecidae. The record is from Ensembl.
UUGCUUCAGCAGCAUGUAUACUAAAAUUGGAAUGAUACAGUGAAGACUAGUAUGGCCUCU